UACGUAGGUGGCGAGCGUUGUCCGGAUUUAUUGGGCGUAAAGAGCUCGUAGGCGGCUUGUUGCGUCGACUGUGAAAACCCGCGGCUUAACUGCGGGCUUGCAGUUGAUACGGGCAGGCUAGAGUUCGGUAGGGGAGACUGGAAUUCCUGGUGUAGCGGUGAAAUGCGCAGAUAUCAGGAGGAACACCGGUGGCGAAGGCGGGUCUCUGGGCCGAUACUGACGCUGAGGAGCGAAAGCGUGGGGAGCGAACAGG
RNAcentral lists this ribosomal RNA (253 nucleotides) under uncultured bacterium. RNAcentral describes it as "partial 16S ribosomal RNA". It matches the Rfam family "Bacterial small subunit ribosomal RNA", at positions 524 to 776 of the family's 1533-position model. The record is from RNAcentral.